GAAUUCACUAGUGAUUGGGAAACCGGGGCUAAUACCGGAUGGUUGUUUGAACCGCAUGGUUCAAACAUAAAAGGUGGCUUCGGCUACCACUUACAGAUGGACCCGCGGCGCAUUAGCUAGUUGGUGAGGUAACGGCUCACCAAGGCGACGAUGCGUAGCCGACCUGAGGGGGUGAUCGGCCACACUGGGACUGAGACACGGCCCAGACUCCUACGGGAGGCAGCAGUAGGGAAUCUUCCGCAAUGGACGAAAGUCUGACGGAGCAACGCCGCGUGAGUGAUGAAGGUUUUCGGAUCGUAAAACUCUGUUGUUAGGGAAGAACAAGUACCGUUCGAAUAGGGCGGUACCUUGACGGUACCUAACCAGAAAGCCACGGCUAACUACGUGCCAGCAGCCGCGGUAAUACGUAGGUGGCAAGCGUUGUCCGGAAUUAUUGGGCGUAAAGCGCGCGCAGGCGGUUUCUUAAGUCUGAUGUGAAAGCCCCCGGCUCAACCGGGGAGGGUCAUUGGAAACUGGGGAACUUGAGUGCAGAAGAG
This 536-nucleotide ribosomal RNA is filed under the name uncultured Bacillus sp. RNAcentral describes it as "bacterial SSU rRNA". It matches the Rfam family "Bacterial small subunit ribosomal RNA", at positions 134 to 656 of the family's 1533-position model. The record is from RNAcentral. Lineage: Bacteria; Bacillati; Bacillota; Bacilli; Caryophanales; Bacillaceae.